GGGCACAUGGUGUAGUUGGUUAUCACAUCCGCUUAGCACGUGAGAAGCACGUGGAGAGCACAUGCUACUGCGGGGGGUGCUGGGUUCAAUUCCCAGUGUGUCCA
Molecule: non-coding RNA, 104 nt
Organism: Dendrothele bispora CBS 962.96
Lineage: Eukaryota; Fungi; Basidiomycota; Agaricomycetes; Agaricales
Source: the annotation of a GenBank genome assembly